GGAGGUGUGGCUCAGUUGGUAGAGUGUUUGAAUUCCAUGCAUGAGGUUCUGGGUUCAAACCCCAGCACUGCAG
Molecule: transfer RNA, 73 nt
Filed under: Rattus norvegicus (Norway rat)
Lineage: Eukaryota; Metazoa; Chordata; Mammalia; Rodentia; Muridae
Rfam family: tRNA
About the family: Transfer RNA (tRNA) molecules are approximately 80 nucleotides in length. Their secondary structure includes four short double-helical elements and three loops (D, anti-codon, and T loops).
Source: Rfam by way of RNAcentral